Molecule: unclassified non-coding RNA, 417 nt
Filed under: Histoplasma capsulatum
Lineage: Eukaryota; Fungi; Ascomycota; Eurotiomycetes; Onygenales; Ajellomycetaceae
Description: partial contains ITS1, 5.8S rRNA, ITS2
Rfam family: 5.8S ribosomal RNA (bases 110-263)
Source: RNAcentral
UGCUGCCGGGGGAGCUUCUCCUCCCCGGGCCCGUGUCCGCCGGGGACACCGCAAGAACCGUCGGUGAACGAUUGGCGUCUGAGCAUGAGAGCGAUAAUAAUCCAGUCAAAACUUUCAACAACGGAUCUCUUGGUUCCGACAUCGAUGAAGAACGCAGCGAAAUGCGAUAAGUAAUGUGAAUUGCAGAAUUCCGUGAAUCAUCGAAUCUUUGAACGCACAUUGCGCCCCCUGGUAUUCCGGGGGGCAUGCCUGUCCGAGCGUCAUUGCAACCCUCAAGCGCGGCUUGUGUGUUGGGCCGUCGUCCCCCCUCGACCGGCGGGACGUGCCCGAAAUGCAGUGGCGGUGUCGAGUUCCGGUGCCCGAGCGUAUGGGGCUUUGCCACCCGCUCUGGAGGCCCGGCCGGCUCCUGCCCACCAU